AGGGUUUGAUUAUGGCUCAGAACGUACGCUGGCGGCACGCCUAACACAUGCAAGUCGAACGAAGUAGCAAUACUUAGUGGCAGACGGGUGAGUAACAUGUAGGUAUCUACCCUUUGGCCUGGAAUAACACGAGGAAACUUGUGCUAAUACCGGAUAAGUCUUUACGGAGAAAGCUUUAUGCACCAUUGGAUGAGCCUGCACUUGAUUAGUUUGUUGGUGGGUAAUGGCCUACCAAGACUGUGAUCAAUAGCUGAUUUGAGAGGAUGAUCAGCCACAUUGGGACUGAGACACGGCCCAAACUCCUACGGGAGGCAGCAGUGGGGAAUCUUGCACAAUGGAGGAAACUCUGAUGCAGCGAUGCCGCGUGAGUGAAGAAGGCCUUUGGGUUGUAAAGCUCUUUCGUCGGGGAAGAAAAUGACUGUACCCGAAUAAGAAGGUCCGGCUAACUUCGUGCCAGCAGCCGCGGUAAUACGAAGGGACCUAGCGUAGUUCGGAAUUACUGGGCUUAAAGAGUUCGUAGGUGGUUGAAAAAGUUAGUGGUGAAAUCCCAGAGCUUAACUCUGGAACUGCCAUUAAAACUUUUCAGCUAGAGUAUGAUAGAGGAAAGCAGAAUUUCUAGUGUAGAGGUGAAAUUCGUAGAUAUUAGAAAGAAUACCAAUUGCGAAGGCAGCUUUCUGGAUCAUUACUGACACUGAGGAACGAAAGCAUGGGUAGCGAAGAGGAUUAGAUACCCUCGUAGUCCAUGCCGUAAACGAUGUGUGUUAGACGUUGGAAAUUUAUUUUCAGUGUCGCAGCGAAAGCGAUAAACACACCGCCUGGGGAGUACGACCGCAAGGUUAAAACUCAAAUGAAUUGACGGGGACCCGCACAAGUAGUGAGCAUGUGGUUUAAUUCGAAGAUACGCGCAGAACCUUACCAACACUUGACAUGUUCGUCGCGACUCUAAGAGAUUAGAGUUUUCGGUUCGGCCGGACGAAACACAGGUGCUGCAUGGCUGUCGUCAGCUCGCGUCGUGAGAUGUUGGGUUAAGUCCCGCAACGAGCGCAACCCUCACUUUUAGUUGCCAUCAUUUAGUUGGGCACCCUGAAAGAACUGCCAGUGAUAAGCUGGAGGAAGGUGGGGAUGACGUCAAGUCCUCAUGGCCCUUACGUGUUGGGCUACACACGUGCUACAAUGGUAUCUACAACAGGAAGCAAGACUGCGAGGUCAAGCAAAUCCUUAAAAGAUACCUCAGUUCGGAUUGCACUCUGCAACUCGAGUGCAUGAAGCUGGAAUUACUAGUAAUCGUGGAUCAGCGUGCCACGGUGAAUGCGUUCCCGGGUCUUGUACACACCGCCCGUCACACCAUGGGAGUUGGUUCUACCUUAAGGCAAGGCUUAAAACCCUUGACCACGGUAUAGUCAGCGACUGGGGUGAAGUCGUAACAAGGUAACCAAGGG
RNAcentral lists this ribosomal RNA (1439 nucleotides) under uncultured Candidatus Pelagibacter sp. RNAcentral describes it as "bacterial SSU rRNA". It matches the Rfam family "Bacterial small subunit ribosomal RNA". Lineage: Bacteria; Pseudomonadati; Pseudomonadota; Alphaproteobacteria; Candidatus Pelagibacterales; Candidatus Pelagibacteraceae. The record is from RNAcentral.